This 727-nucleotide ribosomal RNA is filed under the name uncultured bacterium. RNAcentral describes it as "bacterial SSU rRNA". It matches the Rfam family "Bacterial small subunit ribosomal RNA", at positions 676 to 1406 of the family's 1533-position model. The record is from RNAcentral.
UAGCGGUGAAAUGCUUAGAUAUCACGAAGAACUCCGAUUGCGAAGGCAGCUUGCUGGACCGUAACUGACGUUGAUGCUCGAAAGUGCGGGUAUCAAACAGGAUUAGAUACCCUGGUAGUCCGCACAGUAAACGAUGAAUACUCGCUGUUGGCGAUAUACUGCCAGCGGCCAAGCGAAAGCGUUAAGUAUUCCACCUGGGGAGUACGCCGGCAACGGUGAAACUCAAAGGAAUUGACGGGGGCCCGCACAAGCGGAGGAACAUGUGGUUUAAUUCGAUGAUACGCGAGGAACCUUACCCGGGCUUGAACUGCAGCGGAAUGAUUUGGAAACAGAUCAGCGAGCAAUCGCCGCUGUGGAGGUGCUGCAUGGUUGUCGUCAGCUCGUGCCGUGAGGUGUCGGCUUAAGUGCCAUAACGAGCGCAACCCUUACCGAUAGUUGCCAUCAGGUGACGCUGGGGACUCUAUCGGGACUGCCGUCGUAAGAUGUGAGGAAGGUGGGGAUGACGUCAAAUCAGCACGGCCCUUACGUCCGGGGCUACACACGUGUUACAAUGGGGGGUACAGCAGGCUGCUACCAGGCGACUGGAUGCCAAUCCCUAAAACCCCUCUCAGUUCGGACUGGAGUCUGCAACCCGACUCCACGAAGCUGGAUUCGCUAGUAAUCGCGCAUCAGCCACGGCGCGGUGAAUACGUUCCCGGGCCUUGUACACACCGCCCGUCAAGCCAUG